RNAcentral lists this ribosomal RNA (253 nucleotides) under uncultured bacterium. RNAcentral describes it as "partial 16S ribosomal RNA". It matches the Rfam family "Bacterial small subunit ribosomal RNA", at positions 524 to 776 of the family's 1533-position model. The record is from RNAcentral.
UACGGAGGGUGCAAGCGUCAAUCGGAAUUACUGGGCGUAAAGCGCGCGUUGGCGGUUUUUUAAGUCGGAUGUGAAAGCCCCGGGCUCAACCUGGGAACUGCAUCCGAUACUGGAAGACUAGAAUGCGGGAGAGGGAGGUAGAAUUCCAUGUGUAGCAGUGAAAUGCGUAGAUAUAUGGAGGAAUACCAGUGGCGAAGGCGGCCUCCUGGCUCGACAUUGACGCUGAGGUGCGAAAGCGUGGGGAGCAAACGGG